ACUAUGUUCUCGCUCUGCUCUUGGUUCUGAUUCUCAACUUGGGAAGUUUCCUCACUUCUCUAGCAAACGCUCCCUACUGUGCACCACCGACGUACCCUCCAAAGUUCCCUCCCAAACACCCUCCUCAUGUUAAACCACCCAUUCACCCUAAACCACCCGUACACCCACCGCAUGUGAAACCACCAGUAAAACCACCGCAUGUGAAGCCUCCCUACACUCCCAAACCACCAGUGAAACCACCGCAUGUGAAGCCUCCUUACACUCCCAAACCACCCGUAAAGCCACCGCAUGUGAAACCUCCCUACAUUCCCAAACCACCGGUAAAACCGCCGCAUGUGAAGCCUCCUUACAUUCCCAAACCACCGGUGAAACCGCCGCACGUGAAGCCUCCUUACAUUCCCAAACCACCGAUUGUCCACCCACCCUUCAUCCCAAAACCACCAAUCGUGCACCCACCCUUCAUCCCAAAACCACCAAUCGUGCAUCCACCUUUCAUCCCUAAACCACCAAUUGUCUACCCACCAGUUAUGCCCAAGCCCCCCGUGUACCCUCCACCGGUGUACCCAAGUCCACCCCCAACACCUGUCGUGACCCCUAGCCCGCCUCCGCCACCAACAGAGACACCCUGCCCUCCUCCACCACCUAAAGUAGUGCCAUACCCACCGCCACCGCCAAAGGACACGUGUCCGAUCGACGCUCUCAAGCUAGGAGCUUGUGUAGACGUUCUCGGUGGGCUGAUUCACGUUGGGAUUGGGGGCAAUGCUAAAGACGCUUGCUGUCCUGUGCUUCAAGGACUGCUGGACUUGGACGCCG
This 813-nucleotide long non-coding RNA is filed under the name Fragaria vesca (wild strawberry). RNAcentral describes it as "long non-coding RNA (FVES_LNC003414)". Lineage: Eukaryota; Viridiplantae; Streptophyta; Magnoliopsida; Rosales; Rosaceae. The record is from RNAcentral.